Neopelma chrysocephalum (saffron-crested tyrant-manakin) is the source of this 167-nucleotide long non-coding RNA. RefSeq lists it as uncharacterized. Lineage: Eukaryota; Metazoa; Chordata; Aves; Passeriformes; Pipridae. The transcript has 3 exons. The record is from RefSeq and is a predicted model, not a curated record.
UCCCUCUGACCUUGAUCCUCGCCCUGACGGUGACCGGGCUCGUGGCUCUUUUAGUCGCUGUGUUCUGCUGUAGAUCCAAAGGUUGGAGGAUUUUCCGUUUGUCUGCGGCCGAGGAUACGGACACAGGGCCCAGGCAGGAGCUGACGACCGUCUAUGCCCAAGUGAAC